Molecule: transfer RNA, 73 nt
Filed under: Promethearchaeota archaeon
Lineage: Archaea; Promethearchaeati; Promethearchaeota
Description: Candidatus Lokiarchaeota archaeon (microbial mat metagenome) tRNA-Gly
Rfam family: tRNA
About the family: Transfer RNA (tRNA) molecules are approximately 80 nucleotides in length. Their secondary structure includes four short double-helical elements and three loops (D, anti-codon, and T loops). Further hydrogen bonds mediate the characteristic L-shaped molecular structure. tRNAs have two regions of fundamental functional importance: the anti-codon, which is responsible for specific mRNA codon recognition, and the 3' end, to which the tRNAs corresponding amino acid is attached (by aminoacyl-tRNA synthetases). tRNAs cope with the degeneracy of the genetic code in two manners: having more than one tRNA (with a specific anti-codon) for a particular amino acid; and 'wobble' base-pairing, i.e. permitting non-standard base-pairing at the 3rd anti-codon position.
Source: RNAcentral
GCGAGCGUAGUCUAGUUGGUUAGGACGGAAGCUUCCCAAGCUUUUGACCCGGGUUCGAAUCCCGGCGCUCGCA